RNAcentral lists this ribosomal RNA (253 nucleotides) under uncultured bacterium. Its description in RNAcentral is "partial 16S ribosomal RNA". It matches the Rfam family "Bacterial small subunit ribosomal RNA", at positions 524 to 776 of the family's 1533-position model. The record is from RNAcentral.
UACGGAGGGUGCAAACGUUGCUCGGAAUCAUUGGGCGUAAAGCGCACGUAGGCGGCCUGUUAAGUCGGAUGUGAAAGCCCCGGGCUCAACCCGGGAAGUGCAUUCGAAACUGGCAGGCUUGAAUAUGGAAGAGGGUCGCGGAAUUCCCGGUGUAGAGGUGAAAUUCGUAGAUAUCGGGAGGAACACCAGUGGCGAAGGCGGCGACCUGGGCCAAUAUUGACGCUGAGGUGCGAAAGCGUGGGGAGCAAACAGG